GUUUGAGUGCCUGUAGGAAGUGGCUCGAAUGGCACCGAGCAUUCAGCGGGAUAUCAACGAGCCCCCAGACCCUCCUAGCUUGCUCACACUGAAACAGAGUGUGGUCCACGAUCUCAUCCAACUAGCACCUUAAGUAUUGAAGUUGGAUGCCCAGUCUCCACCUGCCAACACCGAUCUCGUUGGUAUCCGACUCCAAACCACCUUACAGAGGAGCAAGGUUGCCCGUGGGUGGAGACCAAACCUCCAGAUUUAGGUGCAGUCUAGCCUCAGGUGCUGUUCACUCUGAAGGAUGCAAUAGAUGUCUUCCGCUCUGACUCUAGGGCUGCCAAAUGUACUCUAAACCCACAUAUUCGGACAUGCACUUUUCAGAUUAGGCAUCGACCAGACUCUCUCUAUGAGGUACUUUCCAAAUAGAUAGCCAAUCUGACCGAUAUCCCACCCUGCCCCCUUAGGAUGGGAAGGUCGCAAACACAAAGUUCGUCCGCAGCUUCAACGUUGACCAUGGUCGGCCAGAGCCUCAUCGACAGAGAGUCCAUCUAGGGGUCCUCCAUUGCAUCGACACUGCACCAAUCGCGGAUUAACCACCUGGUGUUGGCCAAGGUAGUGGGCACAUACCUAUAGAUCUCCCGCCAGAGGCAGAAACACCUCCGGCCCCUUUAAGCUACCCCAUCCACCGCCACUGAACCGCAGCGAGCAGUCAUCAUCUGACUCCAGAAGCACUGCGGCUCAAGAACUUGUCUCGCCGCAUGCCGAACAAACAGCACCUCUCUCUCAUGCGGGUCGGUUGGUAGACCGUCUCCUAAGCCAGUAGAUGUACUCCAUGACCACCACCAUGUGAGCCCUAGAGAAAGUUUCGGAGGAGCCACUCAAUCUUCAUUAGCACAUCUUCGGAAUGACAGUGUUGCACAUAAGGUAAAUCGGUAUGGAGCUCAGGACCGACCUAACUAGUGCCAACCUAUCCAUCAUGGAUAACGAGGCCGCCCUCUAGCUCUCUAGCUACUCCUGAAUGCGCUGCACCAUGCUGAGACACUUUGACACCUGCAGUCUCUUCCCCAUAAUGGAGAUGCCCAAAUAGCUCCACAACCCCUCCUGCUUCCUCAUGCCUAGGAUCCCCCUGAUCUCUUGCUUCAUCUGCCACUUAAUCUUUGUACUGAAGAAAAUGAUAGACUUGUGAAAGUUUACCCUCUGCCCUGAUGCCUUGUAGUAGUCCUCCAGGACACCUCUGAAGGCCAGUGCAUCCCUCGUCCUCGCCCUAGCCAGGAGGAGGCAGUCGUCUGCAAAUAAAAGAUGGAAGAUCGGUCAAGCACCGGGGGCUGGUACAUAGGCGUUCAACUCUCGCUCCUCACAAGCAAUCCACAGGGCGUGAGAUAACACAUCAGCACAAAUGAUAAACAAGUAAGGGGACAAGGGCAACCUUGGCGAAGCUCGAAAGUGGAGUAGAAGAAAAGUGACGACGUCCCAUUGAUCAGGAUGAAAAAGGACAGCCUCUGCACAUAGCCAAGAACCUAAACUAUCCAGGUCUCAUGGAAGCCCAAGCUCUCCAAUACAAACCUGAGGAAGCUCCAGCAGACUCUGUCAUAAGCCCUCUUCAUAUCCAGUUUUACUUCCAUAUAGCUUUGCUGCCUCGGGGCAUGUUGCAGAUCCCACACCAUCUUCUAGGCAAUCAAGAUGUUUUUGGUGAUGCUCCGACUUCCGACGAAUGCCCCAUGUUCCUGGUAGAUGAGACUAGAUAGCAGAGGUCUCAUCCUGCCCACCAUAAUCUUUGCAACUAUGUUAUAAAGAGUAGUGCAAAGGCUGAUGGGCCUAAAAUGACUAGGCUCCGCCGCAUCCAGGAGCUUCGGAAUAAAGGUGACGUAGGUUGCCUUCCAGUCAUCAGCCAUCGAUGUCGUACUGAAGAACAGCUGAACUGCCUCUACUAUUGCUCUUCGAAUGAUGCACCAAUGCCUCCUAAAAAUAAGGAAGGGAAGCUGUCCGGCCCUAGGAUUUUGGUCUCCAAGUACCCAGAUGCCCCCCCGCACGUUAGCCUCCGACACUGCCCAAAUCAGGUCCCUAUUCUCCACCGUACCAACUAUGAUGUCCAGCAAAGAAAACUGGGUGGACACCUCUGACCUACUGUCCUCCAUCCACCUGGACUUAAAGAUGUCAAACAGAACCUACCUGAUUCUUCUCUCCUCCGCCACUCUUUGCCCUACCUUUUCUCUCAAGGAUCAGAUUGUGUUCCUCUAUCUCUUGAUAAUGGUCGACCGAUGGAAGAACCGAGUGUUUCUGUCACCCUCUCUGAUCCACUAGACUCUGAACAUUUGUCUCAAGAAGACCUGCUGCCGCAAGAAGGAAUGAUGCAUAGCCAGCUUCUGACGCAGUGCAACCAUGUCGGCCUCCGGUAGCUCAUCACCACUAUCCUCCCUACCCUGAAGGUUAACAAUAGACACCUCCAUCUCCUCCAAUCGUUUGAAGAUGUUACCCACCACCUCACGGUUCAAUCUGCGCAACCUCUGCUUGGUGAGUCCCAACUUGCAAGGACCCUCUUCAUGGCCUCCCCUCACAUUGGCAUCCCCCAGGCCCCAAACAAUAUUCUAGGAUUGAGGGUAUGAGAGCCACAACUCAAAGUGGAAGGGACUACAAUGACUGGAGCUAGAACUAGUAGUGAUCAAGAGUGGACAGGAUCAAAAGUAAACUGGGGCAAAUGGCGAACCUGAUAUGUAGGAAAGCGUUGGAUCCAACAUGCUGAUGCAACAGCCCUGUCAAUCCUCUCCCACACUCUGGUGUGGCCUGAACGGUUAUUGCACUAGGUGAACCUCGGCCUAGAGAACCCGAGGUCUACCAACCCAUUCGCCAUCAAGAAGUUCUGAAACUUCCUUCUCUCCACCUUAUCAGUGUAGACCCUACCUUUUAUAUGCUCACUAGAUCCUUGAAUGCAGUUGAAGUCGCCUAUGACCAUGAUUAGGAUCCCCUGGGCAACAAGGUUGGUGACCUCACCCUGGAGGGCUCUCCUCAUCCUAUAGUCAGUACUAGCAUAUACAUCAGAUAAAAUCCAAAGAGUUUCAUUAGGUUCUGAAAUUACCAUUAUAACUUGCUUGGGGCAGUUUUGGAACACAUCUACAGUGGCAACACUCCACUUCCACAAAACAAAAAUAUCCCUCGACAGGCCCUGAGAAUCCACUACAAAGGACUCCCAAGCAGCCGAAAGACGACGCUAAGCUCGAUAGAGGCCAUCUCUAGAAAGCCAUGUCUCACACAAAAAAUAGAUAUCCGAGUAGUUCACCUGGAGCAAUCUUUUAAAUGAAGUGUUGAAGGAGGGCUUGGCCGCUCCCCUGCAGUUCCAAACAAGGAUCUUUAUUCCGCAUCGUGCUGCGAAUCCGACCCCUACUCCUUGCCGCAUAGGGCCCCAACUUUCUUCUCCCCUAAUUGGGCUGGCCCACCACCAAUGCCUUCACCCUCAGCCAAUCCGGAAUCCUCCCCCAUCACCGUCGAUCUCACCUUCCUCACCGUCAAAAGGUGAUCCACCUUUCCGGCCCGCCCGUCGCUGUCAGCCUCCUUCCCAGCCACCUCCUCACCCAGCCCGAGCACCAGGGGUCCGUGUCCAAAUUGAAACACCUUGCUUUUACAUCGGUGGAAUCGAUGCCAAAUUGAAGUUGGCUGUCAUGGCUCAUCCAUUGCUCUGUUUACUUGUCAACCUCUGGCCCAUUGGCCUCAGCUGCAUAGUUUCAGCUGGCCAGUACAAGUGACACUUAAGUACUUAACCCGAUCAGGUGGAGCCCACAAAAAACGUUGCCAUGGCUGGAUGAGGUGACAGCAACCUAGAAUAUCUGCACUCAUUUCACGGAUAGGUGAGGUUUUAGCGGAGCUACGACCACCAGAGGCUUUUUGGCCGAUCAAAUCAUUUGGGUUGUGUGCUUUUGAUCCAACUAUUUGUUUAAAGUUCACUGUUUUCGAUUCACUAACAUGCUUGAUUUAUGGUAUUCCAACCGUUUCUUUGACAAAUCUGAAAAUGAAAAGAAUGAUAUGUGACAAUUUAUGGUCAUCCUCCAGCCAAAAACAGAGGAUAUUAUUGAUACAUAUAGUCUUCUUCAAGUGGAUGGAGAUGGGAGGUUGGAAACAUGAAACAUCUUGCUUUUAUAUUGGCAUGACUAGUACCAAAUUCUAGUUGGUUGUCAUUGUUGGGAACCCGCCCAUGCCGCAAAAAAUUAAAAAACUUUUCAGAUGGCAGCGGAAGAGACAUCCUAUGAACGUUGUUGAAUAACCGUUCGUAGAUAGAUUAGAAUUAAAAACUUUUAAACUAAUUAUGAAGAUCAGAUCUUCACCUUGUGCGGAUAGAUGAUCACCGCAAACUGAAGUUUGUGGUUUAGGAUGAAGGUUCGCUAGAAGCCGUUCACGCGUCCGGCCUCUACGGGUAUCCACACGAAGCAGAGGACCGAUCAAAGUUUCCUUGUCUCCCCGGGGUGCUAGCUUCCUUGCAGAGACUACUUUAGAUGGCUGAUUUUCUUCCUUUAAAUCAACUCUUGAUUAUGCUUAGGAGGAGGAAGAAGAAGGAGGCUCUAAGGAGAAGAACCAAAGGCUACUUGCAGCCUUUUCUUUUCCCUGCGUUGGAAGAAGGAAGGGAGGGCUGCCAACACCUUUCUUUUCCUUUCCCUUGCUUGCAGNNNNNNNNNNNNNNNNNNNNNNNNNNNNNNNNNNNNNNNNNNNNNNNNNNNNNNNNNNNNNNNNNNNNNNNNNNNNNNNNNNNNNNNNNNNNNNNNNNNNNNNNNNNNNNNNNNNNNNNNNNNNNNNNNNNNNNNNNNNNNNNNNNNNNNNNNNNNNNNNNNNNNNNNNNNNNNNNNNNNNNNNNNNNNNNNNNNNNNNNNNNNNNNNNNNNNNNNNNNNNNNNNNNNNNNNNNNNNNNNNNNNNNNNNNNNNNNNNNNNNNNNNNNNNNNNNNNNNNNNNNNNNNNNNNNNNNNNNNNNNNNNNNNNNNNNNNNNNNNNNNNNNNNNNNNNNNNNNNNNNNNNNNNNNNNNNNNNNNNNNNNNNNNNNNNNNNNNNNNNNNNNNNNNNNNNNNNNNNNNNNNNNNNNNNNNNNNNNNNNNNNNNNNNNNNNNNNNNNNNNNNNNNNNNNNNNNNNNNNNNNNNNNNNNNNNNNNNNNNNNNNNNNNNNNNNNNNNNNNNNNNNNNNNNNNNNNNNNNNNNNNNNNNNNNNNNNNNNNNNNNNNNNNNNNNNNNNNNNNNNNNNNNNNNNNNNNNNNNNNNNNNNNNNNNNNNNNNNNNNNNNNNNNNNNNNNNNNNNNNNNNNNNNNNNNNNNNNNNNNNNNNNNNNNNNNNNNNNNNNNNNNNNNNNNNNNNNNNNNNNNNNNNNNNNNNNNNNNAAAACUCCUUUCAAUGGGUUGGAACAGUUCCAACUCAACUCAUCAAAGUUUAUCGAUCAUCGAGAUAUUCCCUGUGAGUCUCACCAUCCACCAGUGACACCUAGCAGCAUGUAGUGGCUAUCCAGCAGAAUGGAAUGAUGAACCUCUAGGUGCAGUUAUCAUGUGAUACAGUCCUACUAUCGUGGAUCCCUUCAGGACGGAGGUCAUGGACAACUCGUCAAACCCCAUUGUCUGUCAUAUGUCAAGAUUUAUUAGACUUAAGUUCGAGAGUGGAAAACUCUUUCUCCACUGUUUUUACUGCCUCGACCGAGGCCUUACGAACUCAGUCUUAUAAAUCACAUAGGAUCUCUCCCUAUCUAUCAAGGUCGAUAGAUUCCUUAUAGGUGCAUACCCUACUCUUACAGUGAACCUACUGCAGCCAAUCUACACUGCAUGGACCCAUAUGGCUAGAGACCAUGUAUGUGUGCAGUCAAACUACAAUAACCUCACUGUGAGCAGCCGAAGCAUCGCAGGUCAAAGGACCAGUUACACUACUGCAACAUCAAGCAAGUCACUGACGAGUGGAUAGACAUCCAAGUGACUUCUUGUCUUGGUCACGCUCAGUACCCUUGUUCUCUAACAAGCACUUGCACAAUUGCUCCAGUGUCCCUAUACUGUGGACUCAAGACUCGUCCAUCAAAGAAAGCAAUAUGUGCACUAAUCUCAGCGGAUCAAUCACCGUUCUCUCCCUAUCCAUCAAUCAGGAGCAAUUCAGGAAUUAAUCACCAAUGACACAUGCCUCAAAUUUUCAACUCUUGAGAAUAUGCGUCAUCAUCUUAUUAGUUCCUUGGACGAUUCAUGGACACAUAAGAACAUGAAUGAAAAGAAUGCCCAACUUAAUUAGGUCAAGUACAAAUUUAUGUUCCAGAAUAAAAUAAUGCGUCAGCUAAAUUGGCUUCUAGGGCAUACUUCUAACAGUCAUAUCUCAUUUAUUGCUCUGUUAAAUUAUCAGGCUCUGGCCAACUAGCCAGGGCUACUAUCACGCUCCGAUAUUAGAGCAUAACAAAUACCAUGUAUCUAUACAGUGGAUCAUACAAAUAUGCAGGACUAUAUAUUAUAUCAGCCAAUGAUUAACCGAGUAGCACUUGCUAUAAUUCUGCUUACUAUAAUUGAUCAAUUAACUGUUUCAAAAAAUGACAAUCAAUAUAAAUCGGUGACCAUAGUGAUCGAUUAAGUUAUGAUAAUCUAAAGUUGUGACUGGUGAAUAUUUUUAUUAAAAAUACGGUUGAAAUUCCACUCGAUAGACUAAGAGACAUGGCAUGAUUGAUCGGUUAAAGAUGACUAUAAGAUAACUGUGUUGAUUGAAAAUAUGAUGAUAUGAAAUUUUAGUAUAUUCAUUUCUUCGUCUAGUUGUCAUAACUUGCUUCACAACUUAACAAAAAGUCAUAUUUUCAUUUAGCUGCAGGGGGCAUACGUUACCACCUAUAUAUUAAGUAAUAUUAACUGAUUAGUCAAAAGCUAAUCGGUUCUUCUGUCUGAUAGAUUUUUAACCUGUGCAUUAGUUAAAUAUCUGAUAAAAUUUUGACUUUUAUCCUAAUUAUCUAUUUGGAUGACUUGGAAGUUACACAUGAUUUUUCUGAAAGCAGACGAGAAAUGUCAUUCAUGAAGGGACAGCUAGAAGCGGUUUAUCAAUGAGGAAACCUAUUAUUUCAAGAAACAAUUAUCUAAAAGGUAGUUGUAGCUGGAAAUAACUACUUAGUGGCGGUCAUUCAGGUUAAAAAAAAGUCCAGAUUCCUUUAUAAAUACAGAGAAAGUGAUAAGAUUGAAGGACAUCAUCAGAACUCGACAUUCUACUCCAUAACAGCGUUAGUUUUCUACAUCAAAUGAGCUUCGACGCCUUCUUUACCUUGAAACUCUUAUACUUUCUUUAUUAGCUUUCAAGAUUUACACUUUAACUGCUGCUGCUUCUCUUUUAUUAUUUCUUUAGACACUUCUAUGCCAUUUUAGAUGGAAGCUUUUAAUUCUUCAAUGAAUAUUUCCGUGAUUCUCAAUUAUAUAUCUUUCAAUCAUUUUGAAUCACGCCUUUAUUAUGAUGGAGAUUUCACGCAAUGACAACAAUAUAUCAUGAUCAAAAUAUUCUUACAAAGACUUAAGAAUCAGAUUGAGACUACUAUUAUGAAUGUAAUUUCUGGUCAAAUAAUGAAGUUGAAAUCCUCAGAAAUGAGGUAAAUCAAACAACCACUACAAAAUAAAUAGUUUUUCCUUGCACUUUUUAGAGCCUGUAUCGACGCUUAGGAAAACAAGAUGUCACAAUGAUCUACUUAUAUUAACUUGAUCGUUAGUGAGUUAUCCGAUGCCAUGAGUCAAGAACAAAGAUGCAAUUAAAGACCUAUUACUACAUUAGAAAGCAAAACAAAAAUAAACAUUCAACAGAGAAUGGUGCUCAGUUGGUCCACAGUUUCAUGAGGGCACUGGAAUGAGUACUCGUGUAUAUUCCCUUUCUUAAAAAAAUCUACCACUUCUUAUUUAACAAAAAAAUUUUAUUCUAUCACUUCUUUGUUUAACAGGAAAACAAUAGAUUGUCAAAAGAAAGUAAUGCAUAUUGAUAGUAUUUACUUUACAAAAAUAAAACCAGUUACUUAGAUAAAAUAGAUGGUUUCAAUAUUUGGCUUUAUUCUUCACAGUUCUUUUAUAAGCGAGACAAUUUUAUGUCUAAGUUUCUUUUUAUAUUCUUUUAAAAAAAAUUUCUGUGACAUGACUCUAUCUUGAUAUAUUUUUACCCCUAGUAUAUUGAUAUGGAAUUAGGUAUUUUCGUAGAGCAUUGCUCCAUGUAAUUUAAACUUUAGAAUCCUUGGGAGAUAUUUGUUUCUUUAGAAUCCUUUGUAGUUUACUGGUAGGCCAUUUUCUAACUUCUAGGGAAAUUUUAAGGACAACAGUUUCAAUCCUAUAUAUAUAUAUAUAUAUAUAUAUAUANNNNNNNNNNNNNNNNNNNNNNNNNNNNNNNNNNNNNNNNNNNNNNNNNNGGACUAUUAUUGUACUAAAUAAAAGAAAUUUAAUCUUUAAAUUUAUUGGCUAUAUAUGGAAGUUUGCCGCAGUCACAAGUUGGAUUCAAUAGAAAAUCAGAUUAAAUUAACCACAGCGAUUAUCUCAUUACCAAAAGUUGUCCAACAAGUAUUAAUAUAUCUAACAAAAUCAAAUUGGCGACAGCAUACCUAACUUGUGGGGCACACUGACCCUACGUAAUAUUCUUUCAUCAUCAGUACCAAUUAGACCUCUAAAGAAUGGAUUCUCUUAUUUUCUCCCUUAUGCUUUUCUCGCUUCAUUUUUUUUUUUACCUAAGGUUAUGAUUAUUACAAGACUUUUCAUUUUUCUAAUGCCAACAUCAGAAAAAAAGAUUCCUUACUAGUUAAUUUUUUUGUUCUUCGUUUCGUAAACGAUUAAACUAUGACAAAAAGGUCCGGAUGAAUGCCGACAAAAUGAUUUGCAACCCCAGCCAUACGCCAAUGCAUUUAAGCGGAAAGUCGUUUUCGGCCUACUUCCAUGCAGCUAGCGAUGUGGUUUAGAAAUAUGACGCAUUGGAAGAGAACUUCCACUGGUUAGCCUGCGUUAAAGCUUCUCAUCACCCCUCAGUACCCCGCCUAUAUAUGCACACACCUCUUAUCUCCUCCUUUCUAUGCUCAAAGAAGUUUGUCAAAGAAACCAAGUCUCUCUCUCUCUCGCACACACACACGCGCGCGCGCGCGCACACACACACAGGCCAUGGAAAUAUCUGAUGUUCCAGAUCUGACACAAGAAGAUCAUGAAAAAUUUCUUCAGAAGCUGCGAGAAAGGAACACAAGGUAGCAAGCAAACCACGGCUUAUAAUAGGGAAGAUGCAUGAAAGAGGGAGGAGACGAUAGAUGACAUGCUGUGAGUUUUCUAGGUGUUUUAUAUGUGUGCAUAUGCUUUGAUGUGAUGUUAGGUUGGGAAGUGAUGCUCCAAAGUUUGAAGUCCGGUUCGAGGAUUUGUCUGUGGAGGCUGAAGUUGAUGUUGGGAGAAGAGUUCUUCCAACCCUUGUCAAUACUACCAUCGACGUAGCCCAGGUAUGCAUGGUCGUUUUGGCUCCCAUCUUUAACUCUCCACGCAGUCACUGUGUCACACCUUUAUUGCAGCACAUGAUGGAUCACCCGCCGUUUGAUCACGAAUAGAGAUGUGUGAGAUGUGUUUCUUCGGUGCAUGUAACCCUGUGAGGCACAUGCUAGCUUGCAUCGAUGCAUUGCUCGUGAUCAGAGUGGUCUGAUGAGCGUCUAACCGGAUGCAUGCAUGAUCCCAAGAUUACCUUCUAAUCUUAUUAUUUUUCUUAACUUCAUAUUUGUGGACAGAUCCUUUGUAAUUAAUGGAUGUUAGAUUUCAACUUUAAUGAUAUCAAAAAAUGCUUAUGUAACAUAUAUAAAAAUAUCACUGAAAAAAAUCACUCCGUGUGUCGUAUUCUCGUUGCUCCCUUUGAAUUGAAACCAUAAAGUGUGUCAUUUAACGAAGAAAAGUGAUUAGUGCAAGACACUUAAUUUGAGUGCUCUAUUCCUCACCCUAAAGUGGACCAUUUGAUCACCCUGUGCAAUUUUAUCCAUGCAUCUUGCCUCAAGAUUCGUUAAUAUGUGGCUAAAUGGAGAGCAAUGAUGCAUCCUUCACAUCCCAAGAGAUACUAUUCAGCUGAAUCCUUGGAUUUUGUUAUUAAGUGCCAAAGAUGUACUGUAUUCGUUAAUCAUAGAAAGUUAAUUCAACUUCAGUUUUGUUGACUUGCUUUGCUCAGUACCCCACACACACAAAAAAAAAAACAGGAGAUUUGUUAUCCCUCUUUGCUCAAUUACUUAUUUUCUAUAAAUCAUUUCACUUCUCCUAGUAUUUCUGUGGCCGGGUCUUUUUCUUGUCAGUCAAUUAAUAUAUGGUCUUAUAUGCAAAAAAAAAAAUCAGUUUAAUAUUUUUUUUUAAAAAAAAAUUUGGAGGUCCCCAUCCUUUUGAAAUCAUCGAAUAUCUUAUUUGUCAUAUAUUUUCUAUUCUUUUUACUUUCUUUCAUUUGAAAUAUUAUAGUAGGAAGUAGAUUCCUGCCAACUUGGCUAACAAAGAAAAAACCUAACCCAAGAAUUACUAGGAAACAAGAAUGAACUGUAGAAAAUAAAUAAAGGCCCGCAUGGUUUCUUUCUUAGGGUAGUAAUUGUAUCACUCCUCGGCUCUUCAAAUUAAUUAUUGACAUUGUCAUGCCAAAAUAAUUAAAAAAUUGCACUCGUUAAUGGCACCGGAUUUCAUGUUGUUAUGAUGCAAUCACAAUAAUCAUCUGAAUAUGCUCUCUCUUUAACACACGUAUUUUUAAUGAUAUCUAUUACUUUUCCCACCAUCGAUUUUUCCAUGAUCACUAUGAAGGUUCUAUCAAUAGUCGAACUUUUGUGACCACAUCUUCCAUGUACUGUUGAAAUUGUUCAUCAGUAAUAAUUAGCCGUGGGUGCAUGGUAUUAAUUAUCAUCAAUGUGGGGUGGGUUCUUUGAAUUAUUUUCCAUCAAACCAGCCAUUAUUGAUUUCUUUAUCUUCAUUGAAGCUCGUGUUUUAUAUUUUUUCAUGACACAAUUAAUUAGGCAAUAGGCAAUAGUCACUGUCACCAUCUUUUUCAUAAUAAUGGAGAUUUCUAUUAUUGACCGAAUCUGAUACUAGAUUUGUACGGCCAUAAGUUGCAAUAUUUGAUACUGAUUAUUAUAAAUUUCUUUUUGAGAUCUCUAAACAACUCAAUUGUAGAUUCUCGUAGCUUCGUGAGUGGCGGAUCAAUCGAAUCAAAUUAAACCUCCAUCUGGUUAUUAAAUUACCAUUGGGAUCAAUUCCUUGAAGAUUGGAUUUAGACAUGCAUAGGAUUGGCACUUCAUAAUUCCUUGAAGUAAUUAUGAUUCUUUAAAUCCCAAACUCAUAAAAUUUACAUAUUUAUAGACUACUACUUUGCUAACAAGAAAAAAAAAAGCAAUUUAAAAUUACUAAAAAAAAUAAAAUCAUAUGAUUGGAUCGAGUGGCUUUGUCCCGUUCAUGAUAAAAUAUCAAGCAUAAACCUAGCCCUGCGGAGAUAAGCUUGACACAUCAGCAUAAGAUACCUAAUGCGCCGACAUAGUCGAGGCAUUAUGUUUUUUAACAUGAUUAAUCUUAACCUAGGUAAUGGCUCAAAUGCCCUUCACAUUUUAGAGUAGGUGAUAUUGUUGCCUGUCACCCUCCAUAGGUGAAGUGGGUAUCUAAACAAACACCAAACCCUUGGAUGUGCUGAUGGGUGCAGCCAAUUCCAGCCGGUUGCUUGACAUGGUGUUUUCAAGUCAGACAGGCCAAGAGUUGAAACCGAGCCAAAGUAUUGGUAAACAAUGACUAAUACAAUAAUAUAGCUCUAAAGAGAAUUGUGCUUGUUGUUCCUCGGUAACACCUUUACCUUCUUCUUUGUUGACGAAAUGGGUGAGAGACCAUAAAAAUGGCUAAUUAGCUUGUAGAAAUUUAAGUAGGUAGUAUCCAAUCUCAUACCCAGUAUAACAUGGCACCUAUCUGCAUCAUGAGGCAAUCAGCUCUGAUAGGAACUAAAAUGGUGUCAAAGGCCCCAUCCAUAAAUGUUCACUUCCCACUAAAACAUAUUGUGUGCACUUGUUCUUCUACUGCUACUAACACUGCAGUAGAAGUUUUGGAUCUGCAGCUGAUAUAUAUGUAAUAAUAUGCAGAACAAUUAGAAGAAUGACUCUUCUUCUUCUAAUGUUGUAGUAUAAGUUUUGAAUGGGUAAUCAACAGAAGUCUUAUAAUAUGAAGAGCCAAUUGCUUGAGUUGGUAAAGUCAUUGUAUGUUGGCUUGGGUACUGAUUUCGGCAGGGUUACUUCUCAUCAUAGUACUUAAGAAUAACUCGAUCCAAUAUUUCUCAUAAGCAAGAUAGGCUACCACUCUGGAAUCAUGAAUGGAUAACGUAGUGUAUCCCAAGUGUUCACGGAAAAGAAAGAAAAAAGAAUAAGCUACAUCGAAUUCGAGUUUCUAAGCAAUGGUUUAUCAAUGAUUAAUCAAAAGAAUUGUUUUAUUUUAUAGCUGGGGUUUGUCAGGUUUAUUUAGACAUCUCAAAUUUUGAUCUCUUUGUUAGUAGUCAAUUUGGGUUUCGCACCGAACAUAUUUUAUUGGGGACUUUUAUGCCUUAAUUUAAAAUAGUAGAAUUGUGCAUGUGUACAAGUUUACAGAUGUACGUGCGAGUGUACGUAUGCCUUGAUUUGUAUUUUAAUAACAACUGAGUUUUAACAUUUUGGGCAGGAGCUAAUGGGAUUGCUAAAGUUAUAUCCCACGAAGAAGAAACCUGUUAAAAUCCUUCAUGGCCUAACAGGGUUAAUAAAGCCUAAGAGGUAAGCUUUCUGUCUUCACCUAAAUCCUCAUAUAUUAUUGAAUUGUUUGCGUGUAUGUUAAAUAUAAUUAUUUAUUCUCUUGGUAAGGUUGGCAAAAGGUUGAUCCGUGCUUGAUUUAGCUUCUCUGAUCUCGACGUAAUUGCUUUUAAAAUAAUUCAAACACUGAUAAAGGGCCUAGGUAGAGAUAAAUCCAUUCACUCAUCCUUGUAUUCUAUAUUAUAGUUUGAAGAAAGGCAAGUAGUUAUACCUUAAUACCGAAGUAUUUUUAAAGAAAAUUACAGAGUUCAUUUUAUUUAUGUCACAAGAAAACUCGAAUCUUUCACUAUUUUAUGCACAUAUACUGGGGCAUCAUCGGGUCCUCACCCAUGAUACAAUAAAUAAACUGGACUCCUAAAUACUUAUCUUCAUAUGGGUUGGGUCUUUCCUCUCAAAGUGCCCGGUGACUUUUCGCAUAACUACUCCAAUGUCUUGGAAAGCUAGAUGCGGUCAUAUCGGUCAAAUAGGCUACAUCAUAAUAACAAUGUUAGUCCUUGUUCAAGAAAAGAUAAAUAUUAUUUUUUUUAUGAUAGUUAUAACAAUAACCCUAUUUUUCAUAAUUCAGAAGGAUUACUAGAUUCGAUAUAGACACUCUGGCCGCUACAAUUAGGUGACGCAACAAGAAAGAAAAAAAAAGACAAUUUGAUCGAUGAGGUUUUGUACUUCUCGAAGAUUAGUAUGCCAAAAAAAAGUAAAUUGAAUUGGAGAAUCCAAAAAUCUCUAUGUACAAUUUCCUCCUAUAGUCAUUCCCAUAGUCAUCACAAAUAGGAGAGGCUUCAUGACUUGCACGUUCCUCUUCCACAUCUUCAACAAUUAAUAAUUGCUUCCUUUCUUCCCCCUUUGUCUUCUUGCAAUCUGUAGAUAGGGUCUAGUUUUCCACACUAGAAGUAUCAUAUCCAACCUUAGACUUUUUCUCUUGUGUAGUGCAGUAGUCUUUUUCUCUUUCUGUAUCUAUUUUUCUAAUUUUUGAGAGUACUCUGACUCUAUUUUUUUCUUUUCUAUUUUUUAUUACACUUUGUUUUUUGUUACUUUUGUAAGAGCCUGGAAUUUUAAGGUAAGUUUCCCAAGGGAUGAUGGCAAAGUUUUUCAAAGGAAAGCACAAAGAGCUUGAAGGGCAGGGCUGGCCUGGGGCCUUAGGCGACCGCCUCAGUCGCCUAAGGCCCCGGGCCAUUGGAAGGCCCACGGAAGGCUGACCAAAAGGAAGCAAAGGCCCCGGGCCAUUGGAAGGCCCACGGGAGGCUGACCAAAAGGAAGCAAAGGCCCCAUACAAAACGGGAUCAGUAGCUGGCUACGAGUGGCUGACCAAAAGGAAGCAAAGGCCCCAUACAAAACGGGAUCAAUAGCUGGCUACGAGGCUUCCCCCUUGAUGGAAGGGAGGUGGAGAGUUUUCUGGCCUGCAGAGGGGCAACUUGGGAUGUUGGGGACAGUAGUUUUGUUUUGGGUGGUGAGAGAGAGAGAGAAGAGGAAUUUGGUUGGCUUGAUAGACGCCUGAAGCCACUCUUAUCUUUCAUCCCUUCUCUUUUUUGGUUUUGGUCUUGGUUUUCCUUCCCUAACACUACUCCUGAUCCAGCUGGGCCAUCCGGAAGGACGAUAGGGGGAUUGGAGAUGGACUUCUUGGAGGGUGGAGAUUCUUUUAGUUUUCUCCUCUCGGUUUCUUCUCCCCUCUUGGGUGGUAGAGAGAGAAAAGGAGGGAGGGGGUUGAAUGGCUGCUGUGCUGUGAUGUUACAGUUGCUGCUUGGGUACUCACUUGAAGGAGAGAUGGUGGGACGGGACUUUUAUUAAUUAGAUGGAGUGAAUUUUCCAUAAUGACCCUACUUUUUCUUAUAGAGAGGUUUCNNNNNNNNNNNNNNNNNNNNUGGUAGAGAGAGAAAAGGAGGAGGGGGUUGAAUGGCUGCUGUGCUGUGAUGUUACAGUUGCUGCUUGGGUACUCACUUGAAGGAGAGAUGGUGGGACGGGACUUUUAUUAAUUAGAUGGAGUGAAUUUUCCAUAAUGACCCUACUUUUUCUUAUAGAGAGGUUUCUUUAUGGACAAAUUCUUUUCUUUACCUUGACCAUGAAGUGCCAUGGGAAGACCUUUUCCUAUUCGGCUCUUGCUUGACAUGGUAAACAGUAUUGCCAAGCAUUAUCUCAGUUUUUUAAUCAGUUUCAUGGCCCUUCAUUUAGAGUAAUUACUUUUAUGUGCUUCCAUUCAAGAAUUAUAUUAAAUUAAAAAAACUUCUUGUCUAUCUUUGUUAGAUUCAUGUAUCUUUGUUGAAAUAGUGUACUUGAUAGCUACCUAUUUUCAUAUAUUUUAUAAGUAUUUUAUAUUUAUUAAAAAAAUAUUAUUAAAAAAAAAAGGCCUCGUUCAUUGGAUUCGCCUUAGGCCCCAGAAUGUAUUGAGCCGCCCCCGACCAUUGGCAUCGGAUUAGCCAGAAGAUCAUGAUUAAAGAGAGGAUAAAGAGUAGCGUAGGUCUAGGAGCUUUGACCUUCGAGGACUUAUAUCACCAUCAAAGCAUCUUUUGAAAUAGAUAAAUCUAGACAAGGAUAGGGGUGUAGCAUUUGGCGGUAGUAGAAAUUAUAAGUUAUAGCUACUCUUAGGGUAAAAACUACUGGUAGAUUAAGAAGUAAGAUAAAAUAAAAUGCAUAGAUUUGGAUUAUUAUUGAAGGAUUUUUAUAAGGUACAUUUUCAUAUAUUUAUACUAACAAAUAAUAAGUACCUACUCUAAUGGUUGCCACCAUGUCUAGCCUCCACUCCUAGCAAUUUUGAUAACUAAUGUCAAUUAUCCUCCACUAUGCAUGUUUAUUGGCAUAGUUGCCUUGCACCAAUUGUUAGGCCAAUAAUCAUAUAUUUUCAGCCUUGAUCUAUUUAGAAGCCUUACAUUGGCCAUCUUUCUUUACUCCAACCUACAAUAUAGUCUUCUAUACUUGCAAAAUAUCUUGGAGACCAAUUCAAUCACUUCAACCUAUACCUGCCAACCAUCCGACUUCAUACAUUUUUUUUCUGUGGUUAGCCUGUCGACCUGCUUAACAACACUGCUAAAUUCUACCUCUUUGGUCCAUACCACUGCAAGUAAGAUUUCUCAUAGUAGGACCAUAUUCAACCUAGCAAGGGUCACGUAAUUCCCAUUUGUCUUUACUUCAUCAAACCUUAGCCAUAUGGCGCUUACUCAUGGCCCUCUACUAAAUUUGGAUAGGGUGUAAACACUUUGUUUUUUCUCCUAUCACUUGGUCUCUUGCGGACAAACUAUGUCAAGUCUCUUUCUAGCCAUUGUAUCUAUCAGUUCAAUCAUUAUGUCUGUCAACCAUCAUAUUUUCCAAGUUGCUAAAUGUGUCCGACUUUUCUAGACUAACUUUUUUACCCACACCCAUUCAUUGAAGUAUGCAAAUCCUUACCCACUUUUGACAACAUUCAAGUUUUGAUAUGGUGCAUUUUUUUUGAGGAGUGCCAUAUUUAACCAUCUCCCACUUUUUGCUACACCUGAUAUCUAUGCAGUACAUUACUAGUAGGGAAUACCCCAACAGUUUUCUUAGGAUUCAUACUUAUUAAGAUGUGACUAUGUUUUCAUAUUGACUGUCAACCUGCUACAAUUCACCUCCUUUAUCCAAGGUUGAGACCAGUUAUUAACAAAAUAAAGUCCUUACAUACAAGGUUUAUAAUUCUAGUUUCAUUUACAAUAUUUGAAUUUCUCUUAGCUUAUCUUUUCACAAUGUGAAUAAAUCAAACUAAUUUCUCUAUUUUAAUAAAUUUAUGUUAGGAUGACUCUUAUCCUUGGAUCUCCCGGAUCGGGAAAGUCGACAUUCUUGAAAGCUUUGUCUGGAAAAUUAGAUUCCAAAUUAAAGGUAAAUGCUUACAAAGGCCUCUUAAGAAUGGAAGAACGCAAGUGCAUUAGCCUACGGUAUAUUGUUUACCUUUUGUUAUGUUUAUUGGCUAGUAUUUAUUAAUUUUACUUGAUCUAGGUCACUGGAAGAGUCACAUAUAAUGGACAAAUAAUGAAUCGUUACAUUUCUCCAAGAAUGUGCACAUAUAUUGGCCAAUAUGAUCUCCACCAUGCUGAGAUGACUGCAAGGGAAACGUUGGAGUUUUCUAAAGAAAUGAUGAGUGCUGAAGAUGCAUUUGGUGAGAGAAUCUGGUUCUUAUUCUUGUCAUACCCAUUAUUAUAUAAUUACAAAUUUUUAAAAAUACUAUCCUUUUUAUUCUUUAACGAACACAAGUUUAAUAAGACUUCAAAGCAAACAAUAAUUUUUGGAGGAAAUAAUAAUAAUCCGUACUAUUUUAAUGAUAGAAGGCAUUGUAGCUAGACUGAGCUGUUACUAAACUUCUUUGUGUACGUAGCUGCAUCUUACAAAUUAAUUUUUAUUUUAAUUACACCGUUUUGAAAGUCUAAAUGCUAGAAAACCACCAGAAGAUUGCACCGUGCUGUUUUCUCGAGCAGCAAAGACUCAAGUGAUCCAUGUAUUUAAUAUCUGUGAUCUCACAAAUAUGUUGUUUUUCUUUCUGAAAGAACCCUAUCGAAACUCUCUUAAAUCCCGCACUCUCUCGAAGGUACCCUCAUCAUAAUAUUGAAAAAAUCUCCAGCAAAUCAAAUUUCUCUCUCAAAUAAUCUUUCUUUCUGGCUCUCCUUUCUCCUUUGGUAGAGAGAGAGAUUUGGCUAAACUCGAGUGCAUCUCCAAAUAAAUAUGGUCAAGUCUAGAUGAUCCAAGCCAUUGAAUACAAUCUACUACCUCUAAAUUAUUUACACACUAAUACUCAUAUAACUUGGAGACCCCUAGUUGUAUAUCAAGUAGACGAGAAAAUAUAUAUUAUUUCAUAUUAUUUAAACUAUUCAAUAUUUUAACAACUUGAUGCAUGAGCUAUGAAUUUCUAAAUCACAUGAUUUUUACCGUGCAAAUAGUUUAGAAAUAGUAGAUCAUAUCCAUAUGCAUGGAUCAUCAAUAUGAGAUGCCCAUUGUUCCAUCUACACCAAAUCAAUUUUGACUAGAGAUCUAAUUGAAUGUAGCCAAGUCCAUCUCUCAAGCGUAGAUAUGUAACAAAUAAAGAAAAAUCUAAUAAAAUAUUUUCAUUUCCGUAAAAUCAUGCCAAAAAAAAUAUAUCUCUUUUUUUAUUCUUUGAUUACUGUAACAAAUAAACUAUAGAAAGUAAAAUCAUCGUAAAAUGAAUAACAAAAUAUCAUCAUAAAAAUCUUAUGAGUGAAAAUAAAUUAAAAGGUAGAAAUACCAACUACAUAUAAAUAAGGAAGUAAUAAAUUACUGUAUUUGUUAGAGUAGAUAAAUAUGAAAAAUUACAAAAAGUCUAUAAAUGAAUAAGAAAAUCAUUAUUUUAAUACAUUUUUUAUCAUUUAUAUAACUAUAAUUUAAAAUUUUCUAUUAUUUUCCUCAAACAUGGAUUGCAAGUUCUUAGGUGCUUUAUACGUUAAGUUCAAUCUCAAUUGUUUUCAUUUUCAAAGAAUCGUCCGAAAAGGUGCCUAAAAGAGACAUGGAAUCAAGCACAAAUGAAGAUAGAGAAACAAAUGCUGUUGCGAAGGUAUUUAUUUCUUUUGUUAAAAAUUUAGCUUUAUUUUCUUGAAAGUUUCAUAACUUGAACAUUUUUUUGCCUUCUGAAUAUGUAGGAGCCAAGUUCUGCAAAGGAAGAGGAAGAAGACUUUUUAAUCAGCUACAUUCUAAAGGUACAUAUGAUCCCUUUAAUCAAAAGUUGUGGUAGAAUAUGGUUACUACAAGUCAGUUAUGGCCUCCAAAACAAUAUCAUAUACUUAUGAUACGCAAACCAAUAAGAUUUCAAACAAGAUGGCCGGACCCCUUUUUUGUUAAAAUAGAAAAGAAGGUAUGACUUCAAAAUUGUAAGCAACUGAGUCGUCUCUUUUGUCGCCCGGCACUCCGGAAAUUUUCUUUGAACGUCUGCAUCGGACGUUCCUCUUCAUUUGUAUUCCUUACUUUUCCGUGAUCCAGCAGGAUAUACUCAUGUUAGAGUUAUAUAAAAUGAGUAGCCGUUUUCACUAUAAAAAAAAAAAUUGUAAGCAACUUAGUGCCCAAUAAAAAUGGCAGGUUGCAACGGUAAUAAGCAAUUCCAAUAUGUUUGAUCAAAAAAGUAGGGAAAACAAGGAAAUUUGUAACGCUAGAGAAAAAUCUUUGCAGUUUGUAUUUUUGUCACCUAUUUUUGUAACCUAAAAUAAUUUAAAUGUUAAUAUUCUGGAAAGAACCCUAAUUGAAAUGGUAAUGAAUCCAUUGCUGAUGCUGUAGCGAAAUGCUUCAUCAUGCUUGACAUAAUUUGGUUAAUCAACUUGUGCCUGAUAAUGAUGUCAAGAUUCUUUUUCUACAAUUUGCAGAUGAUACUUUGUUGUUUCUUAAGAAUGAUAUCAACCAGAUCUAUCUAUUUGAAGUAGUCCCUGGUCUGCAAAUCUCUCCAUAAAUGAACUUAUUCAUUUUGGUGAAAACAAUAACUCUGAUAAUUGGCUUGCUAAUGUAAUAAAUUGCAAGAGCUCUUCUUUUCCAACUUAAUAUCCGGGUCUUUCUUAGAGGCCAUAUGGACUAAUUGAGAGAGGUGAUUGGUUACCAGGCAUGAUAAAAAUUAAAAGAGGUUAUAGCAGGUUGGUCUUUUAAAGUCGUGUCAAUAUGGGUGACCUACUUUGGUAUAGUCAGUUCUUUCUAAUCUUCCUAUCUACCAUCUAUCUAUUUUUCGGGCUCUUAACUAGAUUAUAAAUAGAAUUGAUUGAAUCAGAAAAAUUUCUUUUUCUAGAAAGGUGUCAGCUAUGAGAAAAGUGGGUUUUGUUUGGCAAAGUGGAAAUCAGUGUGCAAAGAAAAAGUUCAGGGUUGCCUUGGAGGAAAAAUUUUCAAAAAUUUUAAUGUAGUCUUUGUUUCUAAGUAGUAGUUUUUGAAUACUGAUGCUCAUAUUUAGAACACAUUGGUUUAUUUUAAUUAUGAUAGGAGAAGUAUUUCGAGCUCAGGACCAACUUUUCUAUGGCUUCUAAAUUUUGAAAAGGCAUUCCUAAGGCUUGGGACUAUUUUUAUCAUGGUACUCCUUUUUGGUUGAUAAUGAUUGCUCUAUAAGUUUUUGGCAUGUUAGGUGGUUAACUGAGCAUCCAUUAAGGGAUUUAUUUCCGAAUCUUUAUUUCCGACCCGAAAUAACAAGUUGGAGACAUGGCAAUAGUUGCACACUCGUCGGGCAUUACCCUGCAAGCAUGCGAGGGAUCCAUCACGAUAUCUUAAUAGAAUAAAGCCAUGGAAUAAAAUUAGAGCAACUAAAAUCCAAAUUUAUUAAUUAAAAAUCCCAAAACAAACAAGAAACUUCAAGAAUUUUAUUCACAAUAAUCUAACAUCAACUAUUGUCCAAAUGUCAAAUAAAAGAAAGAAACCUAUAAAGAUGCUUCCAAUAUUUAUACUAAAAAGAUAAAUACUAAUUAUACACUAUCCAAGCAUUCUACUCAUGCAUCUAGUUACACUCUCAUUUCGUACCUCUUCAACAACUAGAUCUCUGGAUUUGUAAAAAAAGAAAAGAACAAAUAAUGAGCUCAAUAGCCUACUAGAUGAAUACCUCAAUUAGAUAAUUUAAGUAAUAUAUUAAAUAGAUUUUCUUGCUAAUACUAAGUAUAUAAAUAAAAUUAUUGUAUGUAAUAAAAUAAUUUCAUAAUCAAGAAUUCUUAUGUCUGUUCAAGUAAUUAUAUUCAUAUUCAUAAGAAUAAGAAAAAAAUUCGAAAUAUCGUAAUUCAACUUAUAUCCUAUGGAGUUAGACAUAAUACUAUACUUAUACCAUAUAGAGUAGGUUAGAAAACUAUACUUAUACCUACAGAGUGGGAUAGGAUAUGUCGUACUUAUGCUUUGAGGAGUGUGUCAGAAUACCACAUUUAUACUAUGUAGCAAGGCUACAAUANNNNNNNNNNNNNNNNNNNNNNNNNNNNNNNNNNNNNNNNNNNNNNNNNNNNNNNNNNNNNNNNNNNNNNNNNNNNNNNNNNNNNNNNNNNNNNNNNNNNNNNNNNNNNNNNNNNNNNNNNNNNNNNNNNNNNNNNNNNNNNNNNNNNNAUAAUUUUAAGCAAUACGCACAUUCAACAAAAGACUUCUAAACAUAUAUGCAUAAUAUUUGGUAAGAAAAUAACAUAUUCAAUUUAUUUUCCUUUUAAAACAAAAGUUCAUAAAAUUCAUUAUUUGCAUGUUAAUCAAUUUAUUAUUUAUUUGAUAUCAAUAUUUACUCAAAGUAAAUAAUUGAAAAAUCUAGAAAAUAUGUAUCAUUAUUUACCUUAUGAGCAUACUUAGCAAAUAAAUCCAAUAAUUCCAAAAAUUUUCUUUAGAACCUAAUUUCCAAAGUUAUAUUUAUCAAAAUAUGGCCAUGAAAAAUUCUAAAGUACAAUUCCAAGUACUCAAUACCACUACAUAGUAUCAAAACUAACAAUUAGAGAAAAUUGCAAAGAGAAUAAGGUAGCUGUGGAGAAAUAUGAGGAAGAGGUGGAGAAAGAACAAGACUGGCUGGUGUGGUGCCCAACAACUUGGAUCAACUUGGAUCAAUCUAAUCUAGUUAAUUCAACCAAUCACUUUGGAAAAUGUGAGUUCAAGUAGUCCAAAAAUAUCGUGACAAAAGUUAUUAAUGGCGAGAUCUAGUGAUGCCAGCCGAUAUGUCGAUCCACAUGGAUCAAUCAAGGGGCAAAGAGAGGGAGAAAGGGAGAGAAAAGGCAUGCUCUACUAACAUCCACGGAGAAUACAUGAAGAGAAAGAGAGAGAGAGAGAGAGAAAGAGAGGGAAAAAGAGUGCACGAGAAAUAGAGAGGGGUCUUGUCAUGGCCUCUUUUAGGAAAGAGCAUGAAAAAAAUGAGGGUGAUGGUCCCAUAGUAGCGCCAGUGGAUGACUAUCAAAAGACCAGCAAUAGGCACCAACAGACGACAAUGGUGACUAGAACAAGAGGAGAAGAAGAAGAAGAAUAAAAAAGAGGAAAAUAGAGGCCGAAAUAGGGGUCCUGGCUUGGCAUCAGGACGAGCCUCGGCAUUGACCGGCAUCAAUGGCUUUGGCAUCUAAGCACAAGGCCAUUGAGAAGGCUAGACCAAGGGAGAAGAGGGAGAUAUCUUCGAGUUGAAAUAGGGGAAAGAUCACUAAAAUAGGAGAUAAGCAUGGGAGGUGAAUCCAUUAGUUUCUCAACAGAUACUCAAUCGAUGGUGAUGGCAUAAUGACAAGCAGGAAGGAGGAGAGUUGGAGAGGUGGAGAUAGUGGUAUAUCUCAUCUCCAAUGAGCAGGCCAUUGUAAGGGUGAGGAAAAAGGUGGCAAUGCAAGAAAAGAAAUCAGCGAAGAGAGAGAAGAGAGAGGGAGUGCUCAAUGGAGAUUCAUGGGGAGGGGUUUAGGGGUUUAAAUAGCCACAAAGGCUAAGGUUUCCUAGCCUCCAGUAAAGUUUGGGGUGGAGUUGGGAGUCGGUCUCCUCCAACUCUAACAAGGCUCCAACCUUGUGGUUGGGCUACUUGAUGCCUUUCAGGUUGGCAUGACUUUACAGGCUGGGCCUCACAAUUGUUCUUAAUAAAAUUAAGAUGAUGUCAUUGCUGUUUGUUGUGAUAAUUGUGGAGAAAUUAUGUCUAGUAUUGUCUAGAAGAAAUCUGAUUAAUGAUGUUAUUUUCGAGUAUAGAAAUGAUGGAAAUCAUUGCAUUUCAUAGUCCCAAUAUCUUUAUAAUAAAUUCAUUUGCAAAUUCAUAAUUUUUGAGGUAAACUGGAUGGUAGCGCUCCUAACAUCAAAAAGAUUCAUAUUCCCAAUGAAGUAAAAAAUCUUUAUGUAAUUAGCUUCUAAAGGAAGAAUUUUUAUAAUCAUAAUCAUAAUCAACAAGACUUUUCUCAACUAAUAGAGAUCGGCUUUAUGGAUCCUCAUUCACCAAACUGAUGUUAUUCCAAUUUUCUCUAUAUCCUUUCUCACAACCCCCAUUCCUUGUUACUUUAUGUCUUCCCUUCUUUUUUCUACCAUCUUCUAUACAAAGCAAGGUACCUCUUUUUACUAGAGCCUCCUCAAAUCUUCAUUAUACAUGUACAUCCUGUUAGGAUCCCUCACAUGCCACAGAAAAUUCAAAAAAAAUUUCAGAUUUGCAGCGGAAGGGCAUGCGCGAGAUCCCAUCAUCACAUAAACGUAUUUUUAAAUCAUCGUUUGUAGAUAGAUUACGAUUAAAUUCUUUUAAACAUUUUAUAUCAUUAGGAAGAUCAGAUCUUCAUCUUGUGCGGAUAGAUGGUCUCCGCAAAUCUGAUAUUCGUGAAUUUGUUGAAGGUUCGAUGGAAGCCGCACAUGCGUCCGACCUCUACAGAUAUCCACACGAAGUAGUGAACCUAUCAAAGCUCUCGUAUCNNNNNNNNNNNNNNNNNNNNCGAUUAAAUUCUUUUAAACAUUUUAUAUCAUUAGGAAGAUCAGAUCUUCAUCUUGUGCGGAUAGAUGGUCUCCGCAAAUCUGAUAUUCGUGAAUUUGUUGAAGGUUCGAUGGAAGCCGCACAUGCGUCCGACCUCUACAGAUAUCCACACGAAGUAGUGAACCUAUCAAAGCUCUCGUAUCUCCCCGGGGUGCUAGCUCCCUUGCAGAGAUUACUUUAGAUGGUUGAGAUCCUCUCCUUUGAAUCAACUCUUGAUUGUCUUGAGAAGAGGAAGAAGAAGAAGAAGGAAUCUAGGAAGAAGAAUACAAGGCUCUUCGCAGCCUUUUCUUUUCCAUGCGCUAGAACCAAGGAAGAAGGUCCAAGAGGAGAUGCACGCCUCCUCUUCUUUUCUUCUUGCUGAUGGCGGAUGAAAGGAGGAAGAGAGGAGCUCUUGUUCACGGCUGAAUGAAGAAAAAAUACCAUAAAAAUUCGUAGCCCCUUUGUACCCCUCUUUUUAUGGUGUGUGAGGAUAGAGAUAAGCUCCUAAAUUUUAGGAGCUCAUCUUUAUCCUUUCAUUUUUCAAAAUAGGAGGGGCGUACGCCCCUCCUUUUUCCCUCACGCCAUCAGCCAAGGGAGGGGCAUACGCCCCUCCCUCUAAUCCCCUUUAGUCAGCCCCACUUAAUCAAAUUAAGUGGGGAUUGGGUUAGGUCUAGUGCUAGGAUUCAAUCCUAUUCAAAAUAGGAUUUGCACCCAUUUCAAUUUCCUCCAAAUCCUAAUCCAAUUAGGAUUUAAUUGAACCAUGACUCAAUUGAACUCUUCAAUCCUAAUCUAAUUAGGAGUCAUUAGAUUAAUUAGAUUAAAUUAAUUAGGACUUAUUAAAAUUUCAGUCCUAAUCCAAUAAGGACUCUAGAAAUCCUACUCCAAGUAGGACUCUAAUUUAAUUUGAAAUCCUAAUCCAAUUAGGAAUUUUAGAAUCAUACUCCAAGUAGGACUCGUGAUCAAGUCUAAUUAAUUAUAUCCAAUUAAUUAAAUUAAAUUACAAUCCGAUUACAAUUAUUCUUUUUUUAACUCACUAACCUUUAGGAAGUCAACAAAUUAUCAAUCAAAUUAAUUAUUUGUGAUUCCUAAUCACAUUCAACCAUCGGAUCGGUCAAUACCUCUAAUGUGUGUGACCUCAUAAGUUCUAUUAUGUCUGGUAGUCAGAUAUAUUGUGAUCUCUAUCACAAUAUAAUUGAAAACUUCUUUCAAUGGGUUGAAACAAUUCCAACUCAACUCACUAGGGAUCAUCGACCAUCAGGAUGGUCCCUGUGAGUCUCACCAUCCACCAGUGACACCUAGCAGCAUGUAGUGGCUACCCAGCAGAAUGGAAUGAGGAACCCUAUAGGUGCAGUUAUCGUAUGAUACAGUUCCUCUAUCGUGGAUCCCUACAGAUCGAAGGUCAUGGAUAACUCGUCAAACCCCGUCGUCUGUCAUGUAUCUAGAUUUAUUCGAUUUGAGUUCGAGAGUGGAAAACUCUUUCUCUACUUAUAUACUGCCCUGGCCAAGGUCUUAGAACUCAGUCUUAUAAAUCUCAUAGGAUUACUCCUCAUCUAUCAAGGUCGAUAAAUUUCAUGUAGGUGCAUACCCUACUCCUACAGUGAACCUACUGCAGCCAAUCUACACUACAAGAACCCAUAUGACUAGAGACCAUAUAUAUGUAUAGUCAAACUACAAUAACCUCACUGUGAGUAGCCGAAGCAUCGCAGGUUAAAGAACCAGUCAUACUACUGCAACAUCAAGCAAAUCACUGACGAGUGGAUAGACAUCCAAGUGACUUCUUGUCUUAAUCACGCUCAGUACCCUUAUUCUCUAACAAGCACCUGCGCUAUCACCCCAGUGUCCCUACACUGUGGACUCGAGUCUCGUCCAUCCAUAAGAAAAGCGAUCCGUACACUGAUCUUAUCGGAUCGAUCACCGUCCUCGUGAUGAUCCAUUGAUCAUGAGCAUUUAGAAAUUAAUCACCAAUGAUAUAUGGCUCAAAUUCUCAACUCUUGAGAGUAUGUAUCAUCAUCUUAUUAAUUCCUUGGACGAUUCAUAGACACAUAAACAAUAUGAAUGAAAAGAAUGCCCAUUUAUUAAUCAAUAAUAAUAAAGUCAAGUACAAAACUAUGUUCCAGAAUUAAUAAUGUGUCAGCCAGAUUGGCUUCUAGUGCAUAUAUCUAACAAUCUCCUACUUGCACUAAAGCCAAUCAGUCAUGUAUCUAAGUCCCAUCUUCUCAAGAUGUACUUCUAUCUUUUGCUAACUUAGCUGCUUAGUGAAUGGGUCCGCCACAUUGUCCGCGGAGUCUACUCUCUACACCUCAACAUAUUUCUUCUCAAGGUAGUCGCGUAUGAGGUGAAAGCGCCGCUCUAUGUGCUUGGACUUAUGAUGAGACCUUGGCUCCUUAGCAAGAGCUAUGGCGCCAUUAUUAUCGCAGCAGAGUGUGAUGGUAUCUGAUGGCAUUACAUCUAGCUCUGCAAUAAAUUUCUUGAACCAGAAGGCUUCCUUUGCAGCUUCAGAAGCGGCGAUAUACUCAGCUUCCAUGGUAGAAUCAGCAAUGAUCGGUUGUUUGGAACUUUUCUAAUUUACCGUACCACCAUUGCACAAGAACAUAUAUCCAGAUGUAGACUUUCUAUCAUCAAUAUCAGUCAUAAAGUCUGAAUCUGUGUAUCCUUCUACCUUUAACUCUGAUGCUCCUCCAAAAACCAAGAACAAAUCUUUAGUUCUUCUUAAGUACUUAAGAAUGUUCUUCACAGCUGUCCAGUACUCUUCGUCUGGAUUCGACUGAUAUCUGCUAGUGACACUCACAGCAAGGGCUAUAUCAGGUCGUGUACAUAGCAUGGCAUACAUAAGGCUCCCUAUUGCCGAACCAUAAGGGAUCCUGCUCAUGCAUUGAAUCUCUUCAGAUGCGUUGGGGCAUAUCUUCUUGGAGAGAUGAAUCCCAUGCCCAAGGGGUAAUAGACACCUUUUGGAGUUUUCCAUGCUGAACCUUUUCAGCACCUCCUCUAUGUACAUUUUCUAUGAUAGGCCAAGCAUCAUUUUAGAUCUAUCUCUAUAGACCUUAAUCCCCAAAAUAUAGGAUGCUUCCCCAAGAUCUUUCAUGGAGAACUCUUUUGACAACCAGACCUUGAUUGAGGUUAGCAUGAGAAUAUCAUUUCCAAUCAGAAGGAUGUCGUCCAUGUACAGUACGAGGAACACAACGGCACUCCCACUAACCUUCUUGUAAACACAUGGUUCCUCUUCGUUCUUGAUGAAAUCAAACGAUUUGAUUGCAUCAUUGAAACGAGUGUUCCAACUCCGAGAUGCUUGCUUUAGUCCAUAGAUGGAUCUUUGCAGCUUGCAGACUUUGUGAUCUCCAUCACUGGAAGUGAAACCCAAAGGCUGCUCUAUAUAGAUAUCUUCAUCAAGAUAUCCAUUCAGGAAAGCAGUUUUUACAUCCAUUUGCCAUAUUUCAUAAUCAUGAAAUGCUGCAAUGGCAAGCAAUGUUCGAAUGGAUUUCAGCAUGGUUCAGAUGAAAAGAUNNNNNNNNNNNNNNNNNNNNNNNNNNNNNNNNNNNNNNNNNNNNNNNNNNNNNNNNNNNNNNNNNNNNNNNNCCGUAACCUAUCUUCCUUUUGUUAGAUCCAUUUACAUCCAAUAGGUAUUAUACCUUCUUGUGGAUCUAUUGAGGUCCAUACUUGAUUGGAAUACAUGGAGUCUAUCUCUGACUUCAUGGCUUCCAGCCAUUUCUCGGAAUUGAUAUAUGAUAUCGCCUUAUUGUAGGUAUUGGGAUCCUGUACGUGUUCCCUAUCUUCCAUAAGGAACAUUCCCUCGGUAUCCUCUAUAAGCAUACCUAAGUAUCUAUCAGGAGGAUGGGAGACCCUACUAGAUCUACGAGGUGGAGGAGGAACUUCGUGUACUGGCUCUAUGUGAAUAGGUUCUGUAGGUUCCAUGACUCUUUUGCUUUUCAGAGACUCUCUCUUCAAGCUCAAUUUUCCUCCCACUGCCUCUAUCAAGGAUAAACUGUUUUUCCAAGAAGAUGACAUGUCGGCUCACAAACACAUUAUGAUCCUCUGAGAUGUAAAAAUUGUAUCCUAAUAACUCUUUAGGAUAUCCAAUAAAACGAGCACUUAUAGUCCUAGCCUCUAACUUAUCCGCCUGUAGUCGCUUGACGUGGGCCGGACACAUCUAAAUCUUAAGAUGACCAAGACUCGACUUCUUACAAUGCCAUAUCUCAUACGGUGUAGUAGGAACGGAUUUAGAGGGUACUCUAUUCAAUAAGUAAAUUACGGUAAGUAAGGCAUCUCCCCAAAGAAACAUAGGUAAAUCAGUGAAGCUCAUCAUGGAUCAGACCAUAUCUAAUAGAGUCUGAUUCCUCCUUUUUGACACCCCGUUGAGUUGAGGUGUACCCGAAGGCGUCCAUUGUGAGACUAUGCCAUUUUCCUUGAGAUAGUCCCGAAAUUUCCCACUAAGGUAUUCUCCUCCUCGAUCUGUUCAAAGAGCCUUAAGAGCUUUUUCAGUUUGUUUUUCUACUUCAUUUCUGAACUCUUUGAACUUUUCAAAAGAUUCAGAUUUGUGUCUCAUAAGAUACACAUACCCAUAUCGUGAAUAAUCAUCGGUAAAGGUAAUGAAGUACGAAUAACGGUCCCUGGCUAGCACAUCGAAUGGGCCACACACAUCAGUAUGAACCAGGGUAAGUAUUCCAGUGGUCCUCUCCCCAUGUCCCACAAAGGGUAGUCUAGCCAUAUUUUCUUGAAGACAGGACUCGCAAACUGGAUAUAACUCGGAAGUCAAUGAGCUGAGAAGCCCAUCUUUCUCCAUUUUAUUCAUUCUGUCCUCUCUAAUAUGGCCAAGCCUGAGGUGCCACAAAUACUUCUAGUUUAUCUCAUCUCUGGAUCUUUUGGAUCCUAUGGCACUCACUACUUGCUCAGACACAUUCACAGACACAUCGACAUGUAAGUGAUAGAGACUGUCAAUCAUGAAACUACGUGCAACUAAUUUAUUUCUGAAAUAAAUAGAACAUCAGUCUUUAUCAAAUGUAAAAACAUGACCAUCCUGUGCUAAACUCGAAACAAAAAUUAAAUUCCUGCUAGCAGCAGGGACAUAAUAACAGAUUUUAAGCAAUAAACUAAAACCAGACGGUAGUCGCAGAGGAUAGGUGCCCACAGCUACAGCAACAACUCUUGCCCCGUUGCCAACCCGAAGGAUUACUGCACCUUCCGCCAGCCUCCUACUUUCUUUUAGACCGUAGCGAAUGCCUCUUUCUCGCCACAAAUGAGCACUAGAACCAGAAUUUAUAACCCAACUAGAAGUAGAAGAAACCGUAAAGUAGGUUUCAAUUACGAGCAAGUCUAACAGACCUUUUGAAGGUGUGUCUACCUUUUUAUUCUUCAGGCUCUCGAGGUAUGAAGGGCAGUUCCUUUUCCAGUGACCAUCGACGUUGCAGUGGAAACAUUUUCCUUUGUCAUUAGCCUUUUUCUUAUGAAAUUCCUUCUUUGACUUCUUGUCUUUCUUCUGCUUCUUUGCAGUUCUUUUUCUUCCAAGUAGACUUUCUCUUGGAAACAGAAGUCAUCUCAGCAGUAAAAACAGAGCCCCUUAAAUCUUUCAAGGCCCCUUCAGCAGUUACCAACAUAUUCAACAAUUCAGUCUUAGUGUAUUCAAUCUUAUUUAUAUGGUAGUUUACUAUAAACUGCCCAAAUGAAUCAGGAAGGGACUACAGGAUCAAAUCUAUUUGCAAUUCCUUGUGCAUAGUCAUACUGAGCUUCUCAAGCUCCUCUAGAUCCUUGAUCAUAGUCAGACAGUGAUCAUGGACAGACUGCUCCUCGUGCAUCUUUGCCUUGAGGAGCCUCUUGAACACUUCAAAGCGUGCUAUGCAGCUUUGCUCACCAUACAACUCUUGCAGGUGUGCCAGUAUCUCCCUAGCAGUCUUCAUAUUCUCAUGCUGAUAUUGAAGUUCAUUAUUCAUGGAUGCCAUGAUGUAGCACUUGAUCCUAAUGUCAUCGUCCGUCCAUUUUUCAUGCGUCUCAUGCUGAUCAUCAGUCAGACGUGAUGGUAACCUUAGGAUAUCAUUCUCGAGCACAUAGCCUAUUUUCUCGCAACUCAGAACAAUUUUGAGGUUUCUAAGCCAGUCUUUGUAAUUGGUUCUGGUCAGUCGAUUGGUCUCAAAGAUACAAGUCAAAAGGUUCGAAGCUGACAUUGUGAUCUAUAGAGAGUAAAGAUUCUAGUUAGACUUUGUACUUGAUCUUAAUUUGUUCUAGAAACUUUUAAAACAAAUGUGCUCCCACUAUUUUCUCGAAUCCCUCAUACUCCCCUGAUGGAGAAAUGAAAACCCUAUGCGACUAGGGUUUCUAGUGGGUACUGCGGUCCCACCGAUUUACAUGCCGCCUCACCUAACAGUUAUUGGUGACAUAUAAAUGGAUGAGUGUAUAACUCUUGUACAAUGCUUCUUAAGCAAAUUGCAGUGGUACUUGGUCUCUAAGUUAUGAAGACCUCACCUAACAGUUAUUGGCCCCAUUCCUUAGUUAAGUCAGACCUACCAUAUAACCGCAGAAAUAAAGUCGUCAUUGGAUCCUCACCUAACAGUUAUUGGCGCUCAACCCCACCUUUACCCCGCAACAUCUUAUGUCUAAUAGAGAGGUCUAGUCCCCCGAUGCAACUUGCCUACUGUAUCCAGCCGAGACAAAUCAACACCAGAAAGACCUUAGCAACUCUACUACGGUGGAAGACCUAUGGACUUAAUAUUGCAUAAUCAUGUCUUAGUAUUUGCAACUUUGAGUUCUUCAUAAGAGGUAAUCGAGCAAUUGGCCAGGUAAGCAGGUGGGAGGCUCCUCUUACUCAGAAAGUAAGGUCCUAAUUAAGUAACCACCUUUUAGGCUUGCCUAGACACCAAUUAGAUUAAUUAAUCUAAUAUGACUAGCUCAUGUUGGUUCACUCUUGACUGAUUGAGGAAGUUUGUAUUUAGGUCUUUCUCGAUCGACUAUUCACAUCUCAUGUAAAUAUAUAUCUAUCCGCAUAGACAUAAGCAUAAACAUCCAUGCAUAAUAUCAACAAAUAAAUAUAACUGGUGAUGAUCAUGGAUCCAGGAUGGGGUCAUUUUACAAGCACAUGCACGUCAAUUGGUUUGAUCGUCUUUAACUUUUGACUCGAUCUUGAUCCCCUAGGUCCAAUUGUGAUCAACUCUUUGAUCCAUCUUCAAUCAACCCUUGAUCUCGAUCCGCGCAAAUCGUGCUUGUAGAGGCAUGCACCGAUCAACCAUUGACGUACAACCCACAUCACAGAUUAUAUCCCCGAUAAAAAUUAAAAAAUAAAAGAAUAAAUUACAACCCUUUUUUUAUGAGACACGCAGGUCUCUAAUACAUGAAUUUAAGAUGCACGCAGGCAUCUGAAAAUUAAAAUUACAUGCCAUCACAUAGCAUCAUAGAACAUCGCAGAAUAUUUCAGCAUAUUCAAAAGGGUCCAUCCAUGAUCAUCACCAUUCACAUCUCAUGCAUAAAUAUUAUUUUCAGAUUUAUAAUUUAACUGAUUAUUUUAUCUCAUGACUUGCUGAUUAUGCAAGAUAUGAUUCUAAACAUUUGUAAUCAGAUUAUCAAAGCAAUAGAAUCAUUAAUCUAAGCAUGCAAAAAUCAACAUACAAAAAAAUCAGCAAGCUGAAAAUUCUGCAUGCAGAAAAUUUCAGCAAGCAUAAUCUUUUAAAUUUCAGAUCUAAAAUGCCUUUAAUGAUUAAUCCUAAUCUUAAUCUAUAUAACCAUGGCUCUGAACCACUGUUAGGAUCCCUCACAUGCCGCAAAAAAUUCAAAAAAAAUUUCAGAUCUGCAGCGGAAGGGCAUGCGCGAGAUUCCGUUCAUCGCAUGAACGUAUUUUUAAAUUAUCGUUUGUAGAUAGAUUAGGAUUAAAUUCUUUUAAACAUUUUACAUCAUUAGGAAGAUCAGAUCUUCACCUUGGGCAGGUAGAUGGUCUCCACAAAUCUGAUAUUCGUGGAUUUGUUGAAGGUUCGAUAGAAGCCGCACACGCGUCCGGCCUCUACGGGUAUCCACACGAAGUAGUGAACCGAUCGAAGCUCUCGUAUCUCCCGGGGUGCUAGCUCCCUUGUAGAGAUAGCUUUAGAUGGCUAAGAUCCUCUCAUUUGAAUCAACUCUUGAUUGCCUUGAGAAGAGGAAGAAGAAGAAGGAAUCUAGGAAGAAGAAUACAAGGCUCUUCGCAGCCUUUUCUUUUCCAUGAGCUAGAACCAAGGAAGAAGGUCCAAGAGGAGAUGCACGCCUCCUCUUCUUCUCUUCUUGCUGAUGGCGGAUGAAAGGAGCAAGAGAGGAGCUCUUAUUCACGGCUAAAUGAAGGAAAAAUAUCAUAAAAAAUUGUAGCCUCUUUGAACCCCUCUUUUUAUGGUGUGUGAGGAUAGAGAUGAGCUCCUAAAUUUUAGGAGCUCAUCUUUAUCCUUUCAUUUUUCAAAAUAGGAGGGGCAUACGCCCCUCCUUUUUCCCUCACGCCAUCGGCCAAGGGAGGGGCAUAUGCCCCUCCCUCUAAUCCCCUUUGGUCAGCCCCACUUAAUCAAAUUAAGUGGGGAUUGGGUAAGGUCUAGUGCUAGGAUUCAAUCCUAUUCAAAAUAGGAUUUGCAUCCAUUUCAAUUUCCUCCAAAUCCUAAUCCAAUUAGGAUUUAAUUGAACCGUGAAUCAAUUGAACUCUUCAAUCCUAAUCUAAUUAGGAGUCAUUAGAUUAAUUAGAUUAAAUUAAUUAGGACUUAAGAAAUCCUAAUCUAAUUAGGACUUAUUAAAAUUUCAGUCCUUAAUCCAAUUAGGACUCUAGAAAUCCUACUCUAAGUAGAACACUAAUUUAAUUUGAAAUCAUAAUCCAAUUAGAACUCUUAGAAUCCUACUCCAAGUAGGACUCUUGAUCAAGUCUAAUUAAUUAUAUCCAAUUAAUUAAAUUAAAUUACAAUCCGAUUGCAAUUAUUCCUUCUUUAACUCACUAACCUUUAGCGAGUCAACAAAUUAUCAAUCAAAUUGAUUAUUUCUGAUUCCUAAUCACAUUCAACCAUCAGAUCGGUCAAUACCUCUAAUGUGUGUGACCCCAUAGGUUCUAUUCUGUCUGGUAGUGAGAUAUAUUGCGAUCUCUAUCACAAUAUCAUUGAAAACUUCUUUCAAUGGGUUGAAAUAAUUCCAUCUCAACUCACUAGGGAUCAUCGACCAUCAAGAUUUAUUCGACUUCAGUUCGAGAGUGGAAAACUCUUUCUCCACUGUACUGCCCUGGCCAAGGUCUUAGAACUCAGUCUUAUAAAUCUCAUAGGAUCACUCCUCAUCUAUCAAGGUCGAUAGAUUCUAUGUAGGUGCAUACCCUACUUCUACAGUGAACCUACUGCAGCCAAUCUACGCUACAAGGACCCAUAUGACUAGAGACCAUGUAUAUAUGUAGUCAAACUACAAUAACAUCAUUGUGAGUAGCCGAAGCAUCACAGGUCAAAGGACCAGUCAUACUACUGCAACAUUAAGCAAGUCACUGACGAGUGGAUAGACAUCCAAGUAACUUCUUGUCUUGGUCACGCUCAGUACCUUCGUCGGAAAGAUAUCGACUUUGAUAACAGCUUGAUCCAGAUCUAGCGCUGACCUUUGACGGCUGAAAUCCAAUCCCUUCGCCUCUCGGAAGCGAGAAAGGGAGCAGCAAGCGUAGACCCUUGUUCUCUAACAAGCACCUGCACUAUCACCUCAGUGUCCCUACACUGUGGACUCGAGUCUCGUCCAUCCAUAAGAAAAGCGAUCUGUGCACUGAUCUUAUCGGAUCGAUCACCGUCCUCGUAAUGAUCUAUUGAUCAGAAGCAUUUAGAAAUUAAUCACCAAUGAUACAUAGCUCAAAUUCUCAACUCUUGAGAAUAUGUAUUAUCAUCUUAUUAAUUCCUUGGACGAUUCAUAGACACAUAAACAAUAUGAAUGAAAAGAAUGCCCAUUUAUUAAUCAAUAAUAAUAAAGUCAAGUACAAAACUAUGUCCCAGAAUUAAUAAUGUAUCAGCCAGAUUGGUUUCUAGUGCAUAUAUCUAACACAUCCAUGAUAUCUCAACUAUUUUUUCAUCACUUUAUCCUUAAUUUGAGCAACUUUUAUAGCUCCUCUAAUACAUACAUUUCUUAUCUUAUCUUUUCUAUUUUCACCAUAAAUCCAUCCUAACAUUUUUAUUUUUGCAAUAUCCAACUUGUUUUUAUAUACAUUCUUUAUUGCCUAACACUUUGAGCCUAUAAUAUGAUGGGCCUUACUAUAAAAUCNNNNNNNNNNNNNNNNNNNNNNNNNNNNNNNNNNNNNNNNNNNNNNNNNNNNNNNNNNNNNNNNNNNNNNNNNNNNNNNNNNNNNNNNNNNNNNNNNNNNNNNNNNNNNNNNNNNNNNNNNNNNNNNNNNNNNNNNNNNNNNNNNNNNNNNNNNNNNNNNNNNNNNNNNNNNNNNNNNNNNNNNNNNNNNNNNNNNNNNNNNNNNNNNNNNNNNNNNNNNNNNNNNNNNNNNNNNNNNNNNNNNNNNNNNNNNNNNNNNNNNNNNNNNNNNNNNNNNNNNNNNNNNNNNNNNNNNNNNNNNNNNNNNNNNNNNNNNNNNNNNNNNNNNNNNNNNNNNNNNNNNNNNNNNNNNNNNNNNNNNNNNNNNNNNNNNNNGUCACUUCGGUCACCAUUCUUAAUUGGUAUGUCUUCAUUUUCAUUCUCGCUAAAUAUACAUUCCAUAUACAAUGUUUGUUCUACGAACCUUUAGGCCAUUCUCCUUGCAAGCUUUUCUCCAUAAGUCCAAUUUAGUAUUUAAUCUAAUUUUCUGCAUCAUUUAAUACUAUCCACAAAUAAUGUACAGUAGGAUACAUCUUUAUAAAUAUUAAUAGUAAAUUCAUCCGCAAUUAGAGCAAGAAGAUAUAAAUUAAAUGUUGAUCGUUGAUGAAAGCAAGAGAAGAAUUUUUAUUAGACAUAAACAAAAAAGAGAUCUUGGGCUGCGCUUGGAGCUUGUACACUGUGCUUUAAUCGUGCAGAAACAGCUGAUUAUCUAUUCCUUAGAUGUUCUAUACUAAAAAGAUUUGGGAGCAUUUAAAAAGGAAAUGGUAAGUUUGGGCGGGUUCAUUUUCAUCCUUUUAGAAGGAGAGAAAAAAUCAACAAAAGAGAAUUGGUGGCAGUAUUUUGAAAAUGUAAUUGGUACAUGAUUCUCUAUAUCGAUUCGUAUUGUCCUAUAUUUGGGGUAUCAUACCAUACUAGUAUCGUAUUGUGAUUGAACACAAUAUAGAGGAUGAAGCAACUUGAACUUUGUGGACUGAUUAAUUCAGUCCAACUUUGUAGUACACCAACUUGUACCAUCUAAUAGUGUUGUCGUGCCCCCAAUCCGAGAUUGAAAGCCGAGAAUCGCGACAACCACUGCAUACUCAUGGAAAACUCUCUCCACAAGUAUACACGGCAUUCCAACAUGAUAUCAAAUGCAUCACAGUGGAGAUAAUUUAAAUAACUAAAAGCCAUAAUUCAAUUAAUUAACAAAUCCAACUAUCAAAUAAAAUUUAAAUCUUACAUAAUUCAAACCUCAGACAAUAACCCUAAAAAGAUUAUAAUAAGACUAAAUCCAAACUAUAUAAAUAUUGUUGAAUCUCACUUCUAGUCUCAUUCUCAUAAUAGGGCCUACAUCUAGAAUUAAGUAUCUAAAUUUGUAAAGAAAAAAAGAAUAAUAAGAUCGACAGCCUAGUAAGUAAUGAAUAUCCUAACUAGAUAAUUUAUGUAAUAACAUAAGAUACAAUAGUAAAAUACAAAUUACCACGAAUCAAUAUAAAGAUAACCAAUUCUAUUUCCAAACACAAAUUCAUUAAAUCCCAUAUCUUUCAAAUAUCCAUAUACAUAAUUAUAAAUCCAAUUUGAAACAAAUUAUAUUUAAAUCAAUAACCUAUAACUCUGGUCAUACUUAUACCCUAUGGCUAGGCCAAAAAUAAAACCGCACUUAUACUCUAUGAAGUGAGUUGAAAUACUAUGCUUGUACCAUGUGGAGAGGACUAGAAUACUACAUUUAUAUAUUGUGGCGGAGCUAAAAGCAAAAUCGAAAAGCUCAAUAAUAGUCAGAGUGUCAAUGCAUUAACUUCCAAUUGGUAGGAUCUAGUACAUAGUCAAGUUGAGAGUUCAAAUAUGAUAUAUAUCCAAAUUCUUUUUACAAAAUAACAUAUAUAGCAUAAUCCAAUCAAAAUAUGCAUAUCUAAAAUAAAAUCAGUAAAUAAUAUAACAAUAGUUUGAAAAAUAUUACUCCUAAUUAUAUAUCUAUUUUUCAUUUAAAACACUAUCUCAUAAAAUUCAUAAAUUACAUAAAAUUUGAUUAACAAUUUAUUUUAUAUAAAAAUAGUAUUAUAUAAAUAAAAAAUCUAGAAAAAGCAGUUCAUUACUUACCUUACACGAAUAAUGAACAAACAACCAACUAAUCCUAAAAUCCUCCUUCAGAACCUAAUAUCCGAAUUUUUAAAAUUCAAAUAUGAUUAAUUUGAGAUUAAAAAUUUUAAGUUCCAAGACCCUCAUAGGGCUGACUAAGUAGGAGUGCCCGAUAUCCUAAUUGGUCCGAUCAAGAUGAUUUCAUCUGAUCAUGAUUGAGUAUAGAUGGUUCAACAGAAGUUAGGGUUGACUAAAUCUAAUAGUUUCCUGCAAGGGCAAAGGUGGGGCUUGCACACUGCCUAGUAGCUAAAAGAUUAGGACCCCCUUCACCAAAGUCAAUCCAAAAUCACUAAGAAGAGUGCUUUAUUGGAUCCAACAAUCUUAGCGAGAGCAGAGAGAGAGUCAUGUAGCGAAAAACAUGAGAGAAUGGGAAGAGAAAAAAAGAGAGAACAAGUUUCUUUCUUUGACCAGGGAAGAGGAAUGAAGAGGGUGGCUAUGGGUAAUGCCUCGGGGUCAAGCAACCCACAGUUGGCCAAUAGGCGGCCAAAGACUAGAAGCAAUAGGCAGUCGGUGACGCUAAAAUUGGUCAAAAAUAGCAUUUUCAAACCUCUUAAAUUAUGAAAAUCAAAGCAUCCCGGCGACUAGAGCUCCGGCCAUGGCUUCCAGCCACCAUGAUGGGCUGAAGGACCUUGACAAUGAGCAUCGGCGGCAGGACUAGCCGGAAAGAAGAAAAAAACGUCGAUCUACUGAAACACGGGAAACAAAGCAUCUCCUUUUUCACCAAAAAUGCGGCGAUCACUGCUUAGAAUUGGGCUUCCAGAGAUCACAGAAGAGGAGAGAAAAGUUAAACAAAUGUUGUCAGGUUUUUAUCUAGCUUCUAACGAUGAUUGGCAGUGGCAAUGGUGUUGGUAGCUAUCGGCAUUCAGAGAAAAAAUCCGAAGAAAUACUCUAGCAGUGGCUGGAUCUCCAUAGGGUAGAUAGGGUAAUGGGAGGAGCUAUAAAUAGAGCUUGGUUCGCAACCGGUAUCCGGCCCGGAGUUCAAUUCCAUCCGACGAACUCGAGAGAAAGAAGGGUCCCAUCGAGAGUCUUUUUCUCGCUCCGCACGUGCUAAGCGCAUGCCAAUUUUUUUUCCUCGUGGGCCAACUAUCAAAUCUGGGCCCGCCAAAUGGACCAGUUCCAAUUCUUUUGUUGGGUAUUACAAAUAUAUUACACCUUGAUCAGGGAUAAGCAAGAGGUCUCCCUUGACCCUAUAGUGUUAUAGUGUUGUACCGUACUAUACUAAGUACCAUACCAAUAAGGUACAGUAUAGAAUUUGGUACUAGUAUAAUGAACCUUGAUUUGGUGGAAGAUAUGGAAGGGUGGGAACUCAAGAAUGUUUAGAUUUUGUGCCAAAGCCCAUAUUUUACCUUUGAAGGAAGCCUCUAGUCUUUGAAGUCAAUGGUCCUUUGAAAUUGUGUUGAUCUAAACCAUUUUCAAGGCCUUAUAGUAUGCAAGCUUCUCUUGUUACAUGUCAUGAGCUUAAUGAAAUGUUGAUGGAUUUAUUACCCAUCUUUUUCUCAACAAAAGAAUAAACAAAAAUAUAUCAUUAACAUUUGAGAUCAAAUGAAAAUCCAGUAUUUCAAAAAUUAAAUUACCAAAUGAAAAGGAGUGAAAUUGCAUCUGAUAUGUUGAUAAUAAUGUAUUAUAUUGAAUUUUUAGAAUUCAAAAUAUGCAACUUCUGCAUCGAUAUGUUAUUGCUGCUCAUAUUCUCAUUUGCAAGUUAUUGCACACGUUUAAUUGUUGGUUGAAGAAUACAAUUGCAUACAACAUUUAUAUACAAACUUUGUUGUGCCAUUACUGGAGUUGUCAGCGCAUGACUUAAAUCUAUCAAAAGAUCAAGCAUAAUUUAUAAAAGAAGAAAUUUCUUUUGUUUUUUUUUCACUACUAUUAGAAUGCGAGAUGGUUUCAAACUUCGAUGUCUCUAACAAAUUUUCUUAUGCAUUAUGGUCUCCCAGAUGCUCGGCUUGAAUGAAUGUGCAGAUACAAUAAUAGGUGAUGAGAUGAGAAGGGGAAUAUCUGGGGGUCAAAAAAAGAGAGUUACCAUCGGUAUGGCAUAAAUUAAAUUACCUUUGCCAAUCUAAGUUUAUGGUUACAAGGAUCUCUUCGUACUCUCGUAUUUCUUGUUGAAAAUUUGAUAGUACUAACUAAACAUUAUGGCCUAAUUAAUUCCAUCUAGUACAUAUAUGAAUAAUUACAAGGCAUUGAUCGCAGGUAUUCUAUACUUCAUAGCUUCAUGAUAUAAGAACAUGUGCUUACUAUUGGCAAGUUUCAUGUUGUGGGGCUAAGAACAAUUGUCAACACAUCACAAUAAUUACUUUAUUGAUGUAGUAUACAGGUUCCUACUCUUCAAUAAUUUUGUGAAAACAAUCUUAUUUCAUCCUUAUUAGCUACAACUUGAGCACUCAAAAUGGUCUUUAAGAAUUUCAUUGGAUUGAUGGACGCGGACCACUCCCCUUGAGCAUGCCAAGAAAAUUUCCAAAAAAUGCAUUACUAGUUUCGUUGCAUCACAAUGUUUACAGUUUCUGCUCCCAAGAUUCCAGUUUGAGUGAAGCUCUUCAGUUUGAUCAUGUUUUAAAUCCUUAUCCAUCCAUCCAUCAGCUUGGACCAUUUUGUUCCAUCCAAUUCCAGCCAAUAUAAAUCCCCAUCAUAAAUCCAUCCAUCCAUCCAAGAAAACAUGAUCAAAUUUAUAUUGUACAAUCCACUUAUGUUAACUGUGAGAAAGUCCUCGUCCUCCCCAGCUACCAUCAACAAAUCAAGAAAAGUUUGCUUGUUUGUACCUCCAACUUGUAGAAGGAUUUGGUUUUUAGGUUGAGUAUGCAAUGGGGGAAACUGAAUUAAAGGAAAACAAAGAAAGACAGAGUGCGAAUGGGACUCCCCAGUUUUUUUCCUUCAGUGCUCAUAUCUAAACAUAAGUUCUCUCAUCUCUUCACCUCCUCCCAUUCCCAUCAUUUAGUUUCAACAAUUCACCUAUUUCUCCCAAACACCAGUAUAUUUAGAAUGAAAAUUUUUGGAGUAAACAACAGUCACAUUUUGCAAAUGUUAUUCAGAGAAAGAGGCAUGUUUUUGGAUUAUAACAUCAUGAAUGGCCAAAUACAUCUGUCAUGAUGCCUGUCUUAUAAGGAAUCAGAAACUAAACAUCUUGCCUUUCUUUAUAUAUGCAUGUAGAAUUAGAAUAUCAUGAAAUGAAAUGUCUUUUAUAAGUCAUCAAAAUAAACAGUUCAUAACCAACAACCUGUCAUGAGGCCGCUUCUAGAGGCUAUAAGUUUGGAAAUGUGGUCUGAUUCGUAUUGCGUUAGUUUUUGAUUUAUUUGGUAUAAUUACAGUUGUUUCUAAUUCUUUACCCUAGACUUUCCCUUUCUCUUAUUUCUGGGUUACAUUAAAUAAACUGAAACAGGGUGUAGUCUCAUUGUUUUUCUAAUGAAAAGGUGUUCAUAAGUUAUUGCUAUUUUCUUGUAGUCAUUAUAUUUUGCUCAUGUUAUAUUACUAUAGCAAUUCUGAGGAACCUUUCCAAGCAUCAUCCAAUAAAAGAAAUAGGAAACAAGUUGAUUUUCUAAAACAUAUCAUAAUCUAAUUGAAGGAUGGUUGACCAGUUUCAUAACAUCACUAAUAUACUCAAAUACUGAUACUAGUCAAACAUUUCUAAGCUACAUAUAGAAUACUUGUUAUAUGUAUUACUUUUCUGAAAUUUUUUAAAAAACAUGAGAGACUUCUUCGAUAUCAUAUUUUCCCUUUGAAUCCAGGGAUGCAGGGAAAUGUUUUUAAUUUUAAAUUUUCUUUGAUGAAUUUAAAGUUUUUAAUGAUAAAUAGCUAGCAUUGGAGAAUGUAAUGUUGUCACAUUGAUGUUAUGGGAUGGAGUAUAUCGCUAACGGUCUAUUGCUUUGAAUGACCAUUAAAUAUGAAGUCUGUGGAUAUAAAUGCUAUUGUAUAAAGUAUGGACAUGCUAUUUUGUUAAUCUAUUAUACUUUAUUAUAUGUAAACAUAUAUAUAUUAUCUUCGUUAGUCUUAUCAUAUUCUACUAUUUCAAGAUUUGCCUAUUGGCAUGUCAGGAUCAUGUCGUAUAUGUGUCCCAUAUUCAUAUCCAAACUUUAUAGGUUCAAAUUCAUUCAGUAAAUAUAAGAGCAGCUCAAGUAAUAGCUGAAACCAAUGAGCCUUGCCUCUAGCCAGUGAGAAUAGUAAAAUUGUUUUUUCUUUUUAUAUUAGGAAGGAAUAACUUUUCAAUGGUGAUGCUAACAGCAGCAUAUGUUUUGGACCAUGUAAUUUAAGCAAGCUUGUUUGUUGGAAAAUGGAACAAAAGGUGGGGGAACCGGGCAUACCAACCAGUGAACCUGACCAAGAGAUAUCAGUGGGUUGGAACAAAUGGUCAUGGAAAAGGUAUGAAGAAUGGCACCAAAUAAUGGGAGAAAUUAUCUUGUACUAGAAUCUAGGAGGACAAAGAAGUGGAGAAAGAAGCAACUUUGCAUUUAUAAAACAUUAGGCUUGACUUUAUCAAGGCCAAGAUGGUUAAUUUUGGCCUUACUUUGAGACAAUAAAGGCAGGACUUGAAACUGACAGGUUAUCAUGAGAAGGUUAUAGCUAAUGGAAGGGAGCAUCUUACAUAAGCAAAAAAAUAAGUUAGUAACUCUGUUUUCCUUUUUUUGUUCUUUUUUCUUCAGUAUAAUCUUUUGGGAGGAUUGGAAUGGGUGGGAUAUGCCAUCAGGCAAUAUGUAUUUACUUGAACAUGAAUUGUUGUAUAUGCAAAAAGAUUUCCAAUAAUUCUAAAAGUUAACUACCAGUAGUUGUCAAAAUUGAUAAUAUAAUAAGAGGUUAAAAAUGUGGAGUACGGAUGCUAAUCAUUACUUAGGAUAUCUUUGUGUAUCAUGUCUUUUUAUUUAGUACAUUUUCCUAUGUAACGUGUCUUCUAUAUGAAGUAAAUACCAAAGAAAAUCUAUUACAAAUGAUAAUGUAAUCUCAUUACUUGCAAAGCAUGAAUUAUGGAUUUAAUUUGUAACCUACAAAGACAAAUCAAACUUGUAACAUUUACAUAUUCACUUAGGUCAAUAAGAAAGGAUUUGAUUGCCAAAAUCCUACUAGAAAUCAAACUUCCAAUAUGAUCAAAUUGGAGAUAGCUCC
RNAcentral lists this long non-coding RNA (40464 nucleotides) under Phoenix dactylifera (date palm). Its description in RNAcentral is "long non-coding RNA (PDAC_LNC001235)". Lineage: Eukaryota; Viridiplantae; Streptophyta; Magnoliopsida; Arecales; Arecaceae. The record is from RNAcentral.